GCACUGCUGAGGAGUCCCAUGUUAGGGCGAAACGGCCGUCCAGUGC
This is a non-coding RNA of Schistosoma curassoni, 46 nucleotides long. NCBI's taxonomy places the organism in Eukaryota, Metazoa, Platyhelminthes, Trematoda, Strigeidida, Schistosomatidae. The record is from Rfam.